CCUACGGGUGGCAGCAGUGGGGGAUAUUGCACAAUGGGGGAAACCCUGAUGCAGCGACGCCGCGUGAGUGAAGAAGUAUUUCGGUAUGUAAAGCUCUAUCAGCAGGGAAGAAAAUGACAGUACCUGACCAAGAAGCCCCGGCUAACGACGUGCCCGCAGCCGCGGUAAUACGUAGGGGGCAAGCGUUAUCCGGAUUUACGGGGUGGAAAGGGAGCGCAGGCGGCACGGCAAGCCUGAUGUGAAAGCCCGCGGCCCAACCGCGGGACUGCAUUGGGAACUACCGGGCUGGAGUGCCGGAGAGGUAGGCGGAAUUCCUAGUGUAGCGGUGAAAUGCGUAGAUAUUAGGAGGAACACCAGUGGCGAAGGCGGCCUACUGGACGGUGACUGACGCUGAGGCUCGAAAGCGUGGGGAGCAAACAGGAUUAGAUACCCGGGUAGUC
Molecule: ribosomal RNA, 440 nt
Filed under: uncultured bacterium
Lineage: Bacteria
Description: partial 16S ribosomal RNA
Rfam family: Bacterial small subunit ribosomal RNA
Source: RNAcentral